GCGGCGGCGUAGAGCGGUUCAGUCGCCAUCGUUCGCCAAGGCUUUCCGCUCCGACUGGACACUACCAGAGCACGUACACUACCGCUACGAGUAGACAGCCAGCCUUACUAGGUUUGCGAGCCGACGUCACGAGGAAAAUGAUAAGACACACAGUGUUGCUGCUGGCUGUGGUGGUGGCAAUCAUCUGCAUAGAAACGAGCGCCAAUCCGUUAACGUCAGAGGAGAUCGGCAGCGGAAGCGGUGACGGACUGGGAGAUAUGAUGAAGCCAGGAGACCCGAUCGACGGAACUUCCGUAAACCUAGAAGACAUGGAAUCCUCGUACAACAUGAUGAGUGCGUAUUGAGAUCGAUUGGCAUUGUCACCGCAUUGAGAUCGAUUGGCAUUAUCACCGCAUUGAGAUCGAUUGACAUUGUCACCGCAUUGAGAUCGAUUGACAUUGUUACCGUAUUGAGAUCGAUUGGCAUUGUCACCGUAUUGAGAUCGAUUGACAUUGUCACCGUAUUGCGAUCGAUUAACAUUAUCACCGCAUUGAGAUCGAUUGACAUUGUCACCGUAUUGAGAUCGAUUGGCAUUGUCACCGCAGUGAGAUCGAUUGACAUUGUCACCGUAUUGAAGAUUAUUCAAGAGGCUAUUUAACGCGAUGACGUAAAUCUGUAAAUAAACGUUGAUCAUGUUUAAUGAUCGAUUUGUGACAGAAGUAUCGUAGAUUUGUCGAUGGUAGUCUGUCGUGAUCGCUAUUAUAUCACGUAUAUAUAUAAAAAUACCAUGUGACCUUCGAUUUUUCGGACGGAACGGUUAUAUAGACUUUUUUAUAUUCUACGAAGAGCAAGAUAUUAAGACAUUCUGUAUCGACCACUUCUGAUGAUGUUGCUUAGAAAUGAAAAGACGAAAAUCUGAGAAAUAAAGCUCGGUCUAGCGUAAUCGUUUUAUCACCAAACUUUCGCUUAAUCAACAAUUUAUACGUGCAUCAUCUUUGUUGCGUGUUCAAGUUUAUGUGUUACUAUGGAAUAUUUUUAUUGUGAACGCGGUAUCGACGGUGACUCUUAUUAUCACAUAUCCGUAUAUUAAACAUACUAAUUCAUAAAUUCAAUAUUUUGAUGACUGAUAAAAUUUCCACAUGGAAAACUAAGGACUGUAUUCAAAUCUAUGUUUUAUAAAAUAGUAUAUAAGAUCUUUAGAUACCGAUAUAAAUAGAGUAAUCUUACUAAUUAAAGUGAUAUACAUUCCCCUUUUUUAUUUGUAAUAAAAUAAUUAUUCGAAAUUCGA
This is a long non-coding RNA of Priapulus caudatus, 1267 nucleotides long. RefSeq lists it as uncharacterized. The transcript has 2 exons. The record is from RefSeq and is a predicted model, not a curated record. NCBI's taxonomy places the organism in Eukaryota, Metazoa, Priapulida, Priapulimorpha, Priapulimorphida, Priapulidae.